This 494-nucleotide ribosomal RNA is filed under the name uncultured bacterium. Its description in RNAcentral is "partial 16S ribosomal RNA". It matches the Rfam family "Bacterial small subunit ribosomal RNA", at positions 28 to 507 of the family's 1533-position model. The record is from RNAcentral.
GACGAACGCUGGCGGCGUGCUUAACACAUGCAAGUCGAACGGUGAAGCGCCUUCCUUUUUGGUGGGUGUGGAUGAGUGGCGAACGGGUGAGUAACACGUGAGUAACCUGCCCCCUUCUUCUGGAUAACCGCAUGAAAGUGUGGCUAAUACGGGAUAUUCUGGGUCUGUCGCAUGAUGGGUCUGGGAAAGAUAUUGUUUCGGUGGGUGAUGGGCUCGCGGCCUAUCAGCUUGUUGGUGGGGUGAUGGCCUACCAAGGCGGUGACGGGUAGCCGGCCUGAGAGGGUGGACGGUCACACUGGGACUGAGACACGGCACAGACUCCUACGAGAGGCAGCAGUGGGGAAUAUUGCACAAUGGGCGCAAGCCUGAUGCAGCGACGCCGCGUGAGGGAUGGAGGCCUUCGGGUUGUGAACCUCUUUCGCAAGUGAAGCAGGCCUGCCUCGUUUGUGGGUGGGUUGACGGUAGCUGGAUAAGAAGCGCCGGCUAACUACGUG